GAAAAAUAAUAAGAUUUGUUAUUCACCAAGAUUAUUCCUUUAUCUCCACCUGUACCAACCUUUUUCUUUGAGUCAUUCCAUGAUGCAAUAAGCUAGGUACGAACAUGAACAGUAAAAAUAUUUGGUAAAAAUAAGUUAAAUUCAACAAUAGUGAUAUGAACAAUAAAGUUAGAAAUAAGGGGUAGAAGACUUCAACGAUUCAAUAAACAGAAUCAAAUUAAGCAAAAAAAAUCAUUCAAGAUAUUUCUGAUAUAUUUAUGGAUAGCCAUCAUGUAUAACAAAUAACCAAUUUUAUGUUAGACAAAUACAUACAUGAUUAACAUGAUAUGUCCGACAUAAAUGUCUAAAGAAAUUUGAACUUGAUUAAUUUAUCCUAAGUUGAUUUCUAAAUAAUCUAUUGGAACAUGUAACUAAAGCUGCAUAGGCUAAUCUUGCAAUCCUAUUCAUGAUUUCAAUGUUACAU
Molecule: long non-coding RNA, 463 nt
Filed under: Musa acuminata (dwarf banana)
Lineage: Eukaryota; Viridiplantae; Streptophyta; Magnoliopsida; Zingiberales; Musaceae
Description: long non-coding RNA (MACU_LNC004888)
Source: RNAcentral